GGGGGGGGGGGGGGGGGGGGGGGGGGGGGGGGGGGGGGAGGGGGGGGCCCGGCUGGGGGGGGGUGCUCGAGGGGCGAACGGGUGAGUAAGACGUGGGUAACCUGCCCUUGACUUUGGGAUAACUUCCGGAAACUGGGGCUAAUACCGGAUAGGAGCUCCUGCUGCAUGGUGGGGGUUGGAAAGUUUCGGCGGUUGGGGAGGGACUCGCGGCUGAUCCGCUUGUUGGUGGGGUAGUGGCUUACCAAGGCUUUGACGGGUAGCCGGCCUGAGCGGGUGACCGGCCACAUUGGGACUGAGAUACGGCCCAGACUCCUACGGGAGGCAGCAGUGGGGAAUAUUGCACAAUGGGCGGAAGCCUGAUGCAGCAACGCCGCGUGCGGGAUGACGGCCUUCGGGUUGUAAACCGCUUUCGCCUGUGACGAAGCGUGAGUGACGGUAAUGGGUAAAGAAGCACCGGCUAACUACGUG
This 468-nucleotide ribosomal RNA is filed under the name uncultured bacterium. RNAcentral describes it as "partial 16S ribosomal RNA". The stretch from base 58 to 468 matches the Rfam family "Bacterial small subunit ribosomal RNA", at positions 39 to 507 of the family's 1533-position model. The record is from RNAcentral.